GGGUACCAUUGCUAGAUAGUCACUUCGAUUAGUACAGAAAUUGAUUCCUGUGCUAUCGGUUUAGGUUUGAACCUGCGGGGUCACACACAUUAGAGGUUCCUUUCUGAUCUGAUGGCUGAUUAUGAGUCUUAUCUAUCUGGGACUCUAUGAUUGAGAAUUAGGAUUCUCUAAUCAUGAGUUCCACAUAUUUUGGGUACCGAGGUCAAAAUUUUGAAUUUCAAAUUUUGAAUUUGAAAUUUGAACUCUUUGAUCAGGGUUUCAUAUCGAUGGUCUCUGAUGCCUGAUUGCCCAUCGGAUUUGGACUCAAUAUUUAUGAGAGAUUUAAUUAAUAAUUUAAUCACUAAUUAACUCAAUUUAAUUGAGUAAUUAUUUUGGAUCAAGUCCAAUUGAAUUGGAUUCAGUUUGGAUUGACCCGAUUAGGUUAAAUGUUGACCUAAUCGCUAAGGUGNN
RNAcentral lists this long non-coding RNA (450 nucleotides) under Elaeis guineensis (African oil palm). RNAcentral's name for it is "long non-coding RNA (EGUI_LNC001894)". Lineage: Eukaryota; Viridiplantae; Streptophyta; Magnoliopsida; Arecales; Arecaceae. The record is from RNAcentral.